GUCUGGAUGAAGUCUCUGAAUGUACUGGUGACAGAGCUGUUUUGAUGGCUAGCCCUUACAUCAGAGAUGUUCAAGAUGGCUAGGUGGGAAUACUUCAACUUUCGUUCCUUGCUACCUUUAUUUCACCUGAGACCCAGCUAGCAACCCCAGCGCUGUGUGUCCGUAUAUACCCGCUACAUCUGGAAGACCUUUACAAUUCACCUGUUAGCCUGAGAAAGAAAGCACCUCAAAGAACAUACAAUUAUAGCUGUCCCAUUGUUUGCUCUGUUCCAUGCCCAAGCUUGCAACCAACCACCAGUGCCCAAAACUGCACAUGAUAUUCAAGGUGAGGCCACACCAGUGCAGAGCAGAGCAGAGCAGGACAAUCACCUCCCUCGACCGGCUGGCGAUGCUGUGCCUGGUGCCCCCCAGGACACAACUGGCCCUCCUGGCUCAAGCAGCCAUGAGUGAAGAGAAGUCCAGGGGCAGACAGCAAGCUGUACAGGGGGGUUCCUGAGUCCAGGAACACCCAAGUAGCAGCCCCAUGACCCAGAAGUCCUCGGCAGUCAACCAGCAGCCGUUUUGCUCAUCGGAUUGGGACUGCCCCAGCCCCCAGCUGAGCUGUCCAGGUGUGACCAGUCACUGCUGAUAGCCUGGGGAUUCCCCUUUCAGGAGCUGCAUGGAGCACUGUCACCGUGUGGCCUGAGAUUACUGGAGGGGGUAGCUAGGUAAUAUUUUCUGCUGUUGUUUUUUUUUUUUGUUUUGUUUUUGUUUCUUUAUGGUGAUGGCAAAAAGGCACAAAAAAGAGUUAACAAUGGGUCAGCUGGUAUACCUUGUCCUAUUUCUCUACCUGUUUUGCUAAAAGAACAUUUUAGGAGCACUGGCUAAUAUCAUGUUCUGUUCUGCUCACUGGACCAAAGGCCUUAUUAUAGAAAGAAUAGGAGUAGUAUACACAAGGUAAUAAACUAGACAUUUGAAUAAGAUACAGAGGGCCCAGAGCCAGGAUUUUGCAAACUUGAAGAAUUCAGUUCACCUAACUUGAAGAGGUCAAAUUGAGGAAGACGUCUGUGGCGACCACCAGAGGGAUGAAGGCUUGAGGAGAAGAUCCCCACAGUAGAAGACUGUGCAUGCUCAAAAGGAUUAUAGAAAGACUCCGCCCAGAGACUAGCCUACUUAUUAAUAUGUAUGUUAGAUGAUGUAGCCAUGAAUCUAAAGUGUAUAAAAUGACUUGCUUUUGCAUUUUCAAGCCCAGCAAGUUUGUCCAGUGAGAGCUGGCUUGCUCCCAGUGUUGAAUAAACAAAUACCUUGCUGCUUAUAGAUGCAAAAGUCUCUGAGCAGUUAAUUAUUCCAAGGUUUUUCGGCAUCACUGGUUUUAGUAAAAUCGUUAUUUUUCCUCCUUCAUUCAGAUUCCUUGUAAUUUCUACCUUGUCAGUAUUAGGGGGAGAGAAAUAAAAGAAAAUGAGGGUUCAUCUUGUUAGCAGUCUCACCUCCCAAAUAUAUUGUCAUUAAACCAUGACACUGGGCAAUAAAAAUUACUGUGUAUCCCUAUAACUACCCUGUCUCUUUAUGUUUUAAGAUCUUUGUCUAAUUAUGGUCUUCAAUGACACACUUUUAAAUACUUCUUCAGUCUAAUACUGGUGCGGCAGCUUGGGGUCUACAGACUUCCUAAUAAUGUGCAGAUGGUUCUCAGGAGGAUUAACAUACCUGUGUUGCCUCUGUAGCUCAAGUAGCAGGUGGCAACGUUCACUGAGAAUAUAAACUUCAAAGGUGGGUGAUGGCCUUCUUCUGGGGCAGUUUUCUUUGUAAUGAGUAUGCAAAGAUGAACAAAACCAACCUCAUCUCUUCAGAUUUCUCAUUGAAUACAUAUUUAAUAGUGACAGCUUUCUUCAUUAUUAUCAGAGGAUUGUCCUUAUUCAUUACCUGAAAAUGUGUAGCUAAAAACCCAUGUUUCUGCUCCAGUGUAAAGCUUCAUAUUUAAUGUAUCUCAGUAACAAUGUAAAGAGAUGCUAAUCUCUUUUGAAGAUUCUGUGGAACAAGAAGGCUUUCCCAGUCACUUGCCUUUAUGUCUCUGAUAGUCAUGGGGUGUCUGUCACUCCAUCUGCCAAGCCCCCAGUAUCCAAGAAACAACAUAAGUUUUAGACAUAGAUUUUCUCUAAUGAAAAUUAUUCAAGAUAACAUAAUCUUUAUUGAUAUGUUGCAUAAGAGGACUAAGAAAACACAGCAAAAGUGAGAAGGGUGCUGAAUUAACCACACACACACACACACAAAGGCUAUAUACAUCACACACUAAACAAGAUCUGGAUAGGUGAACUGAAAUAAAAUUAUCAAGAGAUUAUUUCUAUUGUGCAAAAUUCCCAUUUCUCUCUUGCUAACAAAUUCAGAACUGAAAUCUUCAUAUUAUAUGCAACAAAGUCAUGUAUUUGUGAUGCUAGCCAAGCUCUUCUCCCAUCUUUCAGCCAGUAUCUCAUCUGAGUUCAUUGCACAUCCUUAGUUCAAAAAGACAGUGUGUGAAAGUAGAAGAAACAUAUUUACAUAUUAAAUUUAUAGAUUUUGCUUAAAAUUGUGGCUUGUUCCAAAUAGCCUUAAUAUAAAGUUCUUUGAAAGUGAUCAGCACAGAGAGAUUUUAGGGACAAUGAUUGCAAAUUUAAGCAGUGAAGGAAACAUAAUGCUUGAAAAACAAUUGUGGAGAGGAUAGAAGUCACUGUGACCUAGAUUGAAAAAUGAAAUUUGUAGACAGCAGAUGUUUCAUGUGAAAGAAGACCCAGUUAACAUUUUAAAAUGCACAAAUCCUCCCUGUCCCUGGAAAGAAUUGAGCUAACCUACUGACUAUUUUCUGUUAUUUAAAUAAAUGUCAGAUAUAUUACAUUCAAGUAAAAAGAUCUGCCUGCAGUCAGCAGAAAUUUACUUUUCACUCCUAAGAGAUGGAUGUGCUUGAUUAUGGAUGGGUAUGGGUAAUUAAGGUAGUUAUACAGUCCAAAACUGUUCAAACCAUCAGUAUUUUAAGUACUUUAAUAAAAUCUGAAAUUUGAAGUACUACAUAAAGUUAUUUGGAAUGAAAAUAUCUUUACAUCACAACUGAUGUUUACAAUGAGGUUAUUAAAAGGACAUGCAAGUGAUAAUGAAUCUUAACAGACCAACAUAACACAUUGGAAUUUCUUAUGCUGUCUUGAAAGAUAUAUAUGCUCAUGGUUGCUCUUUUUAUUAAUAGAAACAGUAACAAAAAAAAAGUUACACUGUCAAUUUUUUUGAACACAGGCCUAAUAAGUUUAAAAUUACCCUAAAGAAAACAAGGUUUAGCAAAAAUAAAAUAAUUAAGCAUGCUCAUUACUGACUUAGGGCUCAUAAUUAAGCUUAUUUGUAUCUGGCUUAAGGCUUGUAGUUAAGCAUACUCAUAGCUGCCUUUUAUGCCAGAGAAAAUAGGAUUCUUAGAAAACCUUAAUGGUUCAGUCACACCAGGGUGCUUAAGGGCUGGCUCCUAAUUUAAAAUUGUCUGUUUUUUAAAAGAGGCUGAGCUGUCUUCGGCCUUGCUGACCUGCAUGUAGCUGUGAGAAAACUCUCUGUGCAUGGCUGAGGAUUGCUGGGCUGGAACACACCCCACCACAGGCCAGUCCAGGUGCAGGAGCUGCCAUCCUGACUUCUCUCUGAAUCUUCCUUCCUGCUUGUCUCAGAGCUUUCUCAUGCCCCUUCAGACAAAACCUGGAAAGCUGGAGUAAAUCACAAAUCAGGUGUCAAUCUGGCCCCAAAAAUAAAGCACUAAGACCAACAUCUUCCAGAGAAACUGGCCAAGAGAUCCACAUAUAUUGCCUAACUCCUCAAAACAAUGAAAUAUCCCACAUUCAGGUAUUUGGC
This is a long non-coding RNA of Lepidothrix coronata (blue-crowned manakin), 3828 nucleotides long. RefSeq lists it as uncharacterized. The record is from RefSeq and is a predicted model, not a curated record. Lineage: Eukaryota; Metazoa; Chordata; Aves; Passeriformes; Pipridae. The transcript is spliced from 4 exons.